GACGAACGCUGGCGGCGUGCUUAACACAUGCAAGUCGAACGGAAAGGCCCUGCUUUUGUGGGGUGCUCGAGUGGCGAACGGGUGAGUAACACGUGAGUAACCUGCCCUUGACUUUGGGAUAACUUCAGGAAACUGGGGCUAAUACCGGAUAGGAGCUCCUGCUGCAUGGUGGGGGUUGGAAAGUUUCGGCGGUUGGGGAUGGACUCGCGGCUUAUCAGCUUGUUGGUGGGGUAGUGGCUUACCAAGGCUUUGACGGGUAGCCGGCCUGAGAGGGUGACCGGCCACAUUGGGACUGAGAUACGGCCCAGACUCCUACGGGAGGCAGCAGUGGGGAAUAGUGCACAAUGGGCGGAAGCCUGAUGCAGCAACGCAGCGUGCGGGAUGACGGCCUUCGGGUUGUAAACCGCUUUCGCCUGUGACGAAGCGUGAGUGACGGUAAUGGGUAAAGAAGCACCGGCUAACUACGUG
RNAcentral lists this ribosomal RNA (468 nucleotides) under uncultured bacterium. Its description in RNAcentral is "partial 16S ribosomal RNA". It matches the Rfam family "Bacterial small subunit ribosomal RNA", at positions 28 to 507 of the family's 1533-position model. The record is from RNAcentral.